Molecule: ribosomal RNA, 2022 nt
Filed under: Triticum aestivum (bread wheat)
Lineage: Eukaryota; Viridiplantae; Streptophyta; Magnoliopsida; Poales; Poaceae
Description: partial small subunit ribosomal RNA
Source: RNAcentral
AUGGCCCUCAAAAAUGAAAAUGUGCUCCCCUUACUUGGCUAUUGCUAUGAAGGACAAAAGGAAGUGGUGUUUAACAAUGGAAAAUAUAUUGCUGCAGACAUCUUUCAAAGUUUACUCUGCUAUGAAUAUUUACCUGAAGGAACCCUUCAGAGGAAUCUUUUUGAAGUACCCAAGAAAAUGGACUGGGAGACACGAUUCAAAAUAAUUAAAGGGGUUUGCAAGGGUUUACUCUUUCUACAUAGCAUUCCUAUUGUUCAUAUGGAUCUCAAGCCAGAAAACAUAUGGUUGGAUAAUUACAUGCGGCCGAAAAUUGCGGAAUUCGGUCUCUCGAGAAUCUUCGGUCAAGAACAAACAUGGAUGAAUUCACAAAAUAUCGUGGGAUCAUAUGGAUACAUAGCUCCAGAAUAUCUAUACAGAGGUGAAAUCUCCACCAUGUCAGACAUUUACAGUUUAGGCCUACUCAUCGUGGAGACCAGCACAGGAGAGAAAAAUUGUCCCGGGAAUGAACCAUCUGCAGUGAAAUUUAUUAAAAAUGUACGCGAUAAUUGGACAGAGGAGCGCAUAGCCUCAGAGUACCCGUCACUAGAUCCAGAUUGCCUCAAGCAAAUAAAAGCAUGCAUCAACAUUGGACUGGAGUGUGUAGAGAUUAGUCGGCGCAAGAGACCAUCCAUAGAAAAAAUUAUGGACACGCUCAACAGACUUUCGCAGGUAGACUCCAAUAACGUUCUCAGCCUGCAACCCCAACGGAUAAACUUCCCUAUUGGGCCAAAGAGGUUGACCUCCAGCUCGCUUUACCUAAUAAACAACAGAGAUGAUCGUAUUGCCUUCAGGCUUGAAACCAAAUUCCCAAGGAGGUACCUUACAAAGCUACCAUUGUGUGGCGUGGUCCCGCCAAAGUGCACCUACAUUCUCACUAUGAUAAUGCGCCAACAGAAGAAGUCGCCACCGUCGAACAGCGACGAUGGUUUGAUACUACAAAGCAGUAUUGCACACCAUGAGGACCUCGACAGUGUCGACCCAGCUUCCGUGGCCAUGUUCCUUGACACCGCCGGUGAUGAGGUGCAAGAGGCAAAAGUUGAGGUUGCUUGCGAACCACUAGUUGAAACUAUCUCUAACGACCAGAUCAUAGACGGUCCUAAUUACCGGGAGGUGUUGUCUGUAGAUGUCCAUCCAACAGAACCAUGGAUCUUGACGAGCAACAAGAGGGGUCAUGUUUGCAUUUGGAACUACCAAACUCAGGCAGAGGUGAACUCCAUUGAAGUCACUAGAGAAUCAGUAUAUUCUGCAAAAUUCAUUGAACGAGAGGGAUGGUUUGUGGUUGGUGGUGAUGACGGGUGCAUCUAUGUGUACAAUUAUAAUACCAUGAAAGAAGUUUACAUGAUCGAAGAAGCUCAUGAUGAUUGCAUCAUGUGUCUGGUGGUGAAUCCAACUCAUUCAUUUCUGCUGUCAGCGUCUGAUGACCACAAGAUUAAGCUUUGGGACUGGGCGAACGAAUGGCAGUGUACCCGAACUUUUGAGGGGCAUGAUGACACAGUCACACAAGUAAUGUUUAACCCGAGGCACAGCGAAAGCUUCGCGAGUGCUUCCUUGGAUCACACAGUCAAGAUCUGGAAUAUUCACUCUGAAACUUGCAACAUCACGUGGGAUGAGCAUCCGGAUGGUGUACUCUCUGUUCAUUACCACCCACGGUAUUUUCAGCAGUCUUUGAUUUGUGGAUCUUCAGAUGGUGACGCAAAGAUCUGGGACCUAGAGACGGACAGUUGCGUCGAUACGCUCGAAGGACAUGAAAAGGGUAUCAGUGCUCUUUGUUGGCACCCAGAACUUCGGGCACUAGUUACUGGAUCGCUUGAUGGGACCGUGCGAAUCUUGAGCUGGAUGUGUCAUAGCAAUACAUACAGGCUCGAGAACAUCAUUGGAUUAAAUCUCGGUGCUGUCAAUGCUCUUGGAUACCUAAAGGGGUUAACAAGGAUUGUGGUCGGAUGCGACCAAGGAAUGGCACUGAUGGAAAUUAACGUGAUUUAA